Molecule: ribosomal RNA, 492 nt
Filed under: uncultured bacterium
Lineage: Bacteria
Description: partial 16S ribosomal RNA
Rfam family: Bacterial small subunit ribosomal RNA
Source: RNAcentral
AGUGAACGCUGGCGGUAGGCCUAACACAUGCAAGUCGAACGGCAGCACAGUAAGAGCUUGCUCUUACGGGUGGCGAGUGGCGGACGGGAGAGGAAUAUAUCGGAAUCUACUUUUUCGUGGGGGUUAACGUAGGGAAACUUACGCUAAUACCGCAUACGACCUACGGGUGAAAGCAGGGGAUCUUCGGACCUUGCGGGGUUGAAUGCGCCGAUGUCGGAUUUGCUGGUUGGCGGGGUAAAGGCCCACCAAGUCGACGAUCCGUAGCCGGUGUGAGUGGAUGGUAGGCCGCACUGGAGCGUGACCAGGGACAAUGGUCCUGCGAGAGGCAGCAGUCGGGUAUAGUGGACAAUGGGCGCAAGCCUUGUACAGCCAGCCCGCGUGGGUGAAGAAGGCCUUCGGGUUGUAAAGCCGGUUUGUUGGGAAAGAAACGCAGCAGGUUAAGACGCCGCUGUUCUGACGGUACCCAGAGAAUAAGCACCGGCUAACUUCGUG